Molecule: ribosomal RNA, 117 nt
Filed under: Pteropus alecto (black flying fox)
Lineage: Eukaryota; Metazoa; Chordata; Mammalia; Chiroptera; Pteropodidae
Source: RNAcentral
UUCUACGAACAUGCCACCCUGAAUGAGCCCGACCUCGUCUGAUCUCGGAAGCUAAGCAGGGUCGGGCCUGGUUAGUACUUGGAUAAGAGACUGCCUAGGAAGACCAGGUAUUAGAUU